GUAGUUGUAUAAUGAUCAUAACAAUCUGAUUUCACAAGAUUUCCAUCCCACAGCCCAAGCACAUCCCUCCACCCCCCCAAACUGUAUCCUCCAGAGAACAUAAGUUAUUCAAUGUCUGUGAGUCAGCAUCUGUUCUGCAAAGAAGUUACGUCUGAAUUUUUUUCAGAUUCCACAUGUCAGUGAUAGCAUUUAAUGUUGGUGUCUCAUUGUAUGGCUGACUUCACUUAGCAUGAUAAUUUCUAGGUCCAUCCAUGUUGCUAAGAAUGCCGGUAUUCCAUUCCUUUUAAUGGCUGAUUAAUAUUCCAUUGUGUAUAUGUACCAAAUCUUCUGGAUCCACUCAUCUGCCAAUGGACAUUUAGGUUGUUUCCAUGUCUUGGCUAUUGCAAAUAGUGCUGCAAUGAACAUUGGAGUACAUGUGUCUUUGUGAGUCAUGGUUUUCUCUGGAUAGAUGCCCAGGAGUGGGAUUGCUGGAUCAAAUGGUAGUUCUGUGUUUAGUUUUCUGAGGCAUCUCCAUACUGUUUGCCACAGUGGUUGCACCCAUUUACAAUCCCACAAACAAUGUACUAGGGUUCCUUUUUCUCCACACCCUCUCCAGCACUUACUGUUUGUAGACAUUUUUAUGAUGGGCAUUCUGGCUGAUGUAAGGUGGUACCUCAUUGGGAUUUUGAUUUGCAUUCUCUAAUAAUGCAUGAUGUUGAACAUCUUUUCAUGUGUUUUUUGGCCAUCUUUAUGUCUUCUUGGAGAAUUGCCUGUUUAGAUCUUCUGCCCAUUUUUGGAUGGGAUUGUUUGUUUUUUUGAUGGAGCUGCAGAAGGUGUUUAUAAAUUUUGGAGAUUAAUCCCUUGUCACUUGAUUCACUGGCAAAGAUUUUCUCCCAUUCUGUGGGUUGUCUUUUUGUUUGAUUUACGGUUUCCUUUGCUGUGCAGAAACUUUGAAGUUCCAUUAGGUCCCAUUUGUUUUACUUUUGUUUUUAUUGUCAAUACUCUAAGAGGUGGAUCUGAGAAGAUGUUGCUGUCAUUAAUGUCAGAGAGUGUUUGGCCUAUGUUUUCCUCUAAGAGUUUGAUAGUGUCUGGUCUUAUAUCUAGGCCUUUAAUCCAUUUGGAGUUUAUUUUUGUGUAUGGUAUUAGGGAGUGUUCUAAUUUCAUUCUUUUCCAUGUGGCUGUCCAGUUUUCCCAGCACCCACUUAUUGAACAAGCUGUCCUUUCUCCAUUGUAUAUUCUUGCCUCCUUUGUCAUAGAUUAGUUGGCUGUAUGUGCGUGGGUUUUAAUUCUGGGCUUUCUAUCCUGUUACGCUGAUCUAUAUUUCUGUCUUUGUGCCAGUACCAUAUGGUUUUGAGGAUUGUUGCUUUUUAGUAUAGUGUGAAGUCUGGGAGCCUGAUUCCUCCAGAUCCAUUUUUCUUUUUCAGGAUGUCUUUGGCUAUUCUGGGUCUUUUGUGCUUCCACACAAACUUUAAAAUAUUUUGUUUGAGUUCUGAGAAAAAUGUCCUUGGUAAUUUGAUAGGGAUUUUAUUGAACCCGUAGAUUGCCUUAGGUAGUAUAGUCAUUUUGAUAAUAUUAACUCUUCUAAUCCACGAGCAUGGUACAUCUUUCCAUCUCUUUAUGUCAUCUUUGAUUUCUUUCAUCAGUGUCUUACAGUUUUCAGAGUACAGGUCUUUUGUCUCUUUAGGUAGUUUUACUCCUAGGUAUUUUACUCUUUUGGAUGCAAUGGUAAAUGGGAUUGCUUCCCUAAUUUCUUUUUCUGCUCUUUCAUUGUUAGUGUAUAGAAAUGCCAUCAAUUUCUGUUUAUUAAUUUUGUAUCCUGCAAAUUUGACAAAUUCAUGGAUGAGCUCUAACAGUUUUCUUGUAGAGUCUUUAGGAUUCUCUAGGUAUAUAUCAUGUCAUCUGCAAAUAUUAAUAGUUCUUCCUUUCCAAUUUGGAUUCCUUUUAUUUCUUUUUCUUCUCUGAUUGCAGUGGCUAGGACUUCCAAAACUAUGUUGAAGAGUAGUAGCGAGAGCGGAAAUCCUUGUCUUGUUCCUGAUCUCAGUGGGAAUUCUUUCAGCUUUUCACCAUUGAGAAUGAUGUUAGCUCUGGGUUUGUCAUAUAUGGCCUUUAUUAUGUUGAGGUAGGUUCCUGAUGUGCCCACUUUCUGAAGGGUUUUUAUCAGAAAUGGGUGUUGAAUUUUGGCAAGGCUUUUUCUGAAUCUAUUGAGAGGAACACAUGGUUUUUAUUCUUCAGUUUGUUAAUGUGGUGUAUCACACUGAUUGAUUUGCAGAUAUUGAAGAACCCUUGCAUCCCUGGGAUAAAUCCCACUUGAUCAUGAUGUCCAGUCCUUUUAAUGUAUCGUUGGAUGCAGUUUGCUAGAAUUUUGUUGAGGAUUUUUGCAUCAAUGUUCCUCAGUGAAACUGGCCUGUAGUUUUCUUUUUAUGUGGUAUCUUUGUCUGGUUUUGGUAUCAGGGUGAUGGUGGCCUCAUAGAAUGAGUUUGGGAGCAUCCCUUCCUCUGCAAUUUUUUGAAAUAGUUUCAGGAGAGGUGUUAGCUCUUCUCUAAAUGUUUGAUAGAAUUCACCUGUGAAGCCAUCUUGUCCUGGACUUUUGUUUUUUGGAAGUUUUUUAAUCACAGUUUCAAUUUCAGUUCUUGUGAUGGGUCCAUUCAUCUUUUCUAUUUCAUCUUGGUUUAGACUUGGAAGACUGUACUUUUCUAAGAAUUUGUCCAUAGCUUCUAGGUUUUCUGUUUUAUUGGUGUAUAGUUACCUAUAGUAGUCUCUUAUUAUCCUUUUUAUUUCUGUGAUGUCCGUUGUUACUUCUCCUUUUUCAUUUCUAAUUUUAUUGAUUUGAGUCCUCUCUUUUUUUCUCGAUAAGUCUGGCUAGGGGUUUAUCAAUUUCGUUGAUCUUUUCAAAGAAGCAGCUUUUCGUUUCAUUGAUCUUUUCUAUGGUUUUCUUUGUUUCUAUUU
This 2925-nucleotide long non-coding RNA is filed under the name Sus scrofa (pig). RNAcentral describes it as "lncRNA (ENSSSCG00055006379.1)". The record is from RNAcentral. Lineage: Eukaryota; Metazoa; Chordata; Mammalia; Artiodactyla; Suidae.